UACGUAGGGUGCAAGCGUUGUCCGGAAUUAUUGGGCGUAAAGAGCUCGUAGGUGGCUUGUCACGUCUGCUGUGAAAACUCGGGGCUCAACCCCGAGCCUGCAGUGGAUACGGGCUAGCUAGAGUGCGGUAGGGGAGACUGGAAUUCCUGGUGUAGCGGUGGAAUGCGCAGAUAUCAGGAGGAACACCGAUGGCGAAGGCAGGUCUCUGGGCCGCAACUGACGCUGAGGAGCGAAAGCGUGGGGAGCGAACAGG
This 253-nucleotide ribosomal RNA is filed under the name uncultured bacterium. Its description in RNAcentral is "partial 16S ribosomal RNA". It matches the Rfam family "Bacterial small subunit ribosomal RNA", at positions 524 to 776 of the family's 1533-position model. The record is from RNAcentral.